AACGCACGAGACCUGCGGACCUGCGGAGGGAUCAUUACCGAGUGUUACAGCUCCCAAACCCACUGUGAACGUACCCAUCGUUGCUUCGGCGGGACCGCCCCGGCGCCUCCGCGCGCCGGGCACGGGCGCCCGCCGGGGGCCCGAAACUCUUGCCUCCUCGCGUGGAUUCUCUGAGUGGCACGAAAAGGGAAAAUGAAUCAAAACUUUCAGCAAUGGAUCUCUAGAUCGGAAGAGCACACG
RNAcentral lists this unclassified non-coding RNA (240 nucleotides) under soil metagenome. Its description in RNAcentral is "partial contains 5.8S ribosomal RNA, internal transcribed spacer 2, and large subunit ribosomal RNA". The record is from RNAcentral.